This 367-nucleotide unclassified non-coding RNA is filed under the name soil metagenome. Its description in RNAcentral is "partial contains 5.8S ribosomal RNA, internal transcribed spacer 2, and large subunit ribosomal RNA". The stretch from base 1 to 119 matches the Rfam family "5.8S ribosomal RNA", at positions 36 to 154 of the family's 154-position model. The record is from RNAcentral.
AUGAAGAACGCAGCGAAAUGCGAUAAGUAAUGUGAAUUGCAGAAUUCAGUGAACCAUCGAAUCUUUGAACGCACAUUGCGCCCGGCAGUAAUCUGCCGGGCAUGCCUGUCCGAGCGUCAUUUCUGCCCUCGAGCGAGUCCAGCAUCUAGGUGCUGGGCCCGCCCGGCGUUGGGGCACUACGGGAAGCCCUGUGCUGUCCCCCGUAGGCCCCGAAAUGAAGUGGCGGUCCUGCCGCGGCGCCCCCUGCGUAGUAUAACAGCUCGCUUCGGGACCCGGUGGAGGCCUGCCGUCAAACCUUACUCUCUAAGUUUGACCUCGGAUCAGGUAGGGUUACCCGCUGAACUUAAGCAUAUCAAUAAGCGGAGGA